This 404-nucleotide ribosomal RNA is filed under the name uncultured bacterium. RNAcentral's name for it is "bacterial SSU rRNA". It matches the Rfam family "Bacterial small subunit ribosomal RNA", at positions 355 to 776 of the family's 1533-position model. The record is from RNAcentral.
UGGGGAAUAUUGGACAAUGGGCGAAAGCCUGAUCCAGCAAUGCCGCGUGAGUGAUGAAGGCCUUAGGGUUGUAAAGCUCUUUUACCCGGGAAGAUAAUGACUGUACCGGGAGAAUAAGCCCCGGCUAACUCCGUGCCAGCAGCCGCGGUAAUACGGAGGGGGCUAGCGUUGUUCGGAAUUACUGGGCGUAAAGCGCACGUAGGCGGUUUUCUAAGUUAGAGGUGAAAGCCUGGAGCUCAACUCCAGAAUUGCCUUUAAGACUGGAUCACUUGAACGUCGGAGAGGUGAGUGGAAUUCCGAGUGUAGAGGUGAAAUUCGUAGAUAUUCGGAAGAACACCAGUGGCGAAGGCGGCUCACUGGACGACUGUUGACGCUGAGGUGCGAAAGCGUGGGGAGCAAACAGG